GAUUGAACGCUGGCGGCAGGCCUAACACAUGCAAGUCGAGCGGUAGCACAGAGAGCUUGCUCUCGGGUGACGAGCGGCGGACGGGUGAGUAAUGUCUGGGAAACUGCCUGAUGGAGGGGGAUAACUACUGGAAACGGUAGCUAAUACCGCAUAAUGUCGCAAGACCAAAGUGGGGGACCUUCGGGCCUCAUGCCAUCAGAUGUGCCCAGAUGGGAUUAGCUAGUAGGUGGGGUAACGGCUCACCUAGGCGACGAUCCCUAGCUGGUCUGAGAGGAUGACCAGCCACACUGGAACUGAGACACGGUCCAGACUCCUACGGGAGGCAGCAGUGGGGAAUAUUGCACAAUGGGCGCAAGCCUGAUGCAGCCAUGCCGCGUGUGUGAAGAAGGCCUUCGGGUUGUAAAGCACUUUCAGCGGGGAGGAAGGCGAUGAGGUUAAUAACCUUGUCGAUUGACGUUACCCGCAGAAGAAGCACCGGCUAACUCCGUGCCAGCAGCCGCGGUAAUACGGAGGGUGCAAGCGUUAAUCGGAAUUACUGGGCGUAAAGCGCACGCAGGCGGUCUGUCAAGUCGGAUGUGAAAUCCCCGGGCUCAACCUGGGAACUGCAUUCGAAACUGGCAGGCUAGAGUCUUGUAGAGGGGGGUAGAAUUCCAGGUGUAGCGGUGAAAUGCGUAGAGAUCUGGAGGAAUACCGGUGGCGAAGGCGGCCCCCUGGACAAAGACUGACGCUCAGGUGCGAAAGCGUG
This 745-nucleotide ribosomal RNA is filed under the name Klebsiella pneumoniae. Its description in RNAcentral is "bacterial SSU rRNA". It matches the Rfam family "Bacterial small subunit ribosomal RNA", at positions 27 to 763 of the family's 1533-position model. Lineage: Bacteria; Pseudomonadati; Pseudomonadota; Gammaproteobacteria; Enterobacterales; Enterobacteriaceae. The record is from RNAcentral.